ACCUCUACAGCCGCAGCCACAACUGAUGC
RNAcentral lists this small RNA (29 nucleotides) under Bombyx mori (domestic silkworm). Its description in RNAcentral is "ovarian small RNA-11348". Lineage: Eukaryota; Metazoa; Arthropoda; Insecta; Lepidoptera; Bombycidae. The record is from RNAcentral.